GGAAUCUUGGACAAUGGGCGAAAGCCUGAUCCAGCGACGCCGCGUGACUGAUGAAGCCUUUCGGGGUGUAAAAGUCUUUCGGCAGGGACAAUAAUGAUGGUACCUGCAGAAGCAGCUGCGGCUAACUACGUGCCAGCAGCCGCGGUAAUACGUAGGCAGCUAGCGUUGUUCGGAAUUACUGGGCGUAAAGCGCGCGUAGGCGGAUAUUCAAGUCGGGGGUGAAAUCCCGGGGCUCAACCCCGGAACUGCCUUCGAUACUGGAUGUCUGGAGUUCGAGAGAGGUGAGUGGAAUUCCGAGUGUAGAGGUGAAAUUCGUAGAUAUUCGGAGGAACACCAGUGGCGAAGGCGGCUCACUGGCUCGAUACUGACGCUGAGGUGCGAAAGCGUGGGGAGCAA
RNAcentral lists this ribosomal RNA (396 nucleotides) under uncultured bacterium. Its description in RNAcentral is "bacterial SSU rRNA". It matches the Rfam family "Bacterial small subunit ribosomal RNA", at positions 358 to 771 of the family's 1533-position model. The record is from RNAcentral.